Molecule: unclassified non-coding RNA, 356 nt
Filed under: Hevea brasiliensis (rubber tree)
Lineage: Eukaryota; Viridiplantae; Streptophyta; Magnoliopsida; Malpighiales; Euphorbiaceae
Source: RNAcentral
GCAGCCUCAAAAAUCACCAUCUCAGCCUUAUGGCGUAGACAACCCUCAAGAAAAUCAUAGAAAGGGCGGUCCCCUGUUUGUGUGUUAGCAGCUGACUCACGAAUAACCUGACUAGUAUAACGUAUCAAAAGGCAUUGGGCAAGUGGUGAGCGAACAGUUCCCCUGGUCAAACUGGUAACCAACUUACUGACAGCUAGUCGAUCAUUCUGUCGUAUCUGAUGGAGCAAUGCCACGGCAUGAAAUUGUACAAGGGCAGCUCUAGACUGCACAGCUUCCUGAACCUCAUUCCUCUUCACUAUCUCUGGGUUUGUCUGGAGUAAAUGGAUCCCACUAACCAAAGCUGCACUAGCAACUAC